UGGAAGACUAGUGAUUUUGUUGUUAUGUGUCAAAAUUGACAACAAGUCAUGGUCUACCUCA
Hucho hucho (huchen) is the source of this 61-nucleotide microRNA precursor. The record is from Ensembl. Lineage: Eukaryota; Metazoa; Chordata; Actinopteri; Salmoniformes; Salmonidae.